RNAcentral lists this long non-coding RNA (280 nucleotides) under Jatropha curcas. Its description in RNAcentral is "long non-coding RNA (JCUR_LNC003422)". The record is from RNAcentral. Lineage: Eukaryota; Viridiplantae; Streptophyta; Magnoliopsida; Malpighiales; Euphorbiaceae.
GUUUAGUUUGAUAUGUGAGUAAAGCAAAUAGUAACCAAAACUAAUAAUUAAGGUAAAAGUACGUUUCUUGAAUUAGACCUCUAAUGUAGAAUUUUCUUAUUAUGUUAGAUGUUUGUAAGUUCCGAAAGGUGGAGACAAAUGUUGGAAGCGUGCAGUAAUAAAGAUAGUCCCUUAGAGGACAAUAAAGAACUGUGAGUAGUGUUAGAUAACUAGUAUCAUCCACCUGCAUUCAUGCAUUCACGGCUAAAUGUUAUCAUGCAUUAUUUUGUUGAAUUGUCAU